GACGAACGCUGGCGGCGUGCUUAACACAUGCAAGUCGAACGGAAAGGCCCUGCUUUUGUGGGGUGCUCGAGUGGCGAACGGGUGAGUAACACGUGAGUGACCUGCCCUUGACUUUGGGAUAACUUCAGGAAACUGGGGCUAAUACCGGAUAGGAGCUCCUGCUGCAUGGUGGGGGUUGGAAAGUUUCGGCGGUUGGGGAUGGACUCGCGGCUUAUCAGCUUGUUGGUUGGGUAGUGGCUUACCAAGGCUUUGACGGGUAGCCGGCCUGAGAGGGUGACCGGCCACAUUGGGACUGAGAUACGACCCAGACUCCUAUGGGAGGCAGCGGUGGGGGGUAUUGCACAAUGGGCGGAAGCCUGAUGCAGCAACGCCGCGUGCGGGAUGACGGCCUUCGGGUUGUGAACCGCUUUCGCCUGUGACGAAGCGUGAGUGACGGUAAUGGGUAAAGAAGCACCGGCUAACUACGUG
Molecule: ribosomal RNA, 468 nt
Filed under: uncultured bacterium
Lineage: Bacteria
Description: partial 16S ribosomal RNA
Rfam family: Bacterial small subunit ribosomal RNA
Source: RNAcentral